CCUACGGGAGGCUGCAGUGAGGAAUAUUGGUCAAUGGGCGGGAGCCUGAACCAGCCAAGCCGCGUGAGGGAAGAAGGUACAGCGUAUCGUACACCUCUUUUGUCAGGGAACAAAGGCGGGGACUAGUCCCCGGAUGAGGGUACCUGAAGAAAAAGCAUCGGCUAACUCCGUGCCAGCAGCCGCGGUAAUACGGAGGAUGCGAGCGUUAUCCGGUGUUAUUGGGGUUAAAGGGUGCGCAGGCGGCCUGUUAAGUCUGCGGUAAAAGCCCGGGGCUCAACCCCGGCGAGCCGUUGAAACUGGCGGGCUAGAGUUGGAGAGAAGUACGCGGAAUGCGCGGUGUAGCGGUGAAAUGCUUAGAUAUCGCGCAGAACCCCGAUUGCGAAGGCAGCGUACCGGCUCCACACUGACGCUGAGGCACGAAAGCGUGGGUAUCGAACAGGAUUAGAUACCCGAGUAGUC
Molecule: ribosomal RNA, 459 nt
Filed under: uncultured bacterium
Lineage: Bacteria
Description: partial 16S ribosomal RNA
Rfam family: Bacterial small subunit ribosomal RNA
Source: RNAcentral